Long non-coding RNA from Taeniopygia guttata (zebra finch), 6331 nucleotides. Lineage: Eukaryota; Metazoa; Chordata; Aves; Passeriformes; Estrildidae. The record is from Ensembl.
UUUUUUUUUUUUUUUUUUAACCCUGAGAGUGGUGAAACACUGGCACAGGUUGCCCAGAGAAGUUUAGGAUCCAGCCCUUGAAACAUUCAAGGCCAGGCUGGAUGGGACUCCAUCCAUGAAGGUAUUCCUGCCUAUGCCAGGGGUUGGAAUUAGAUGACCUUCAAAAUUCCCUUCUAACCCAAACCAUUUUACUGUUAGAUGAUUCUUCAUGCCAUAUAGCACUUAUUGGUAGAGAAAAAGGGCCAUGGUUUUUUAACAUUUGUAAUUUCUACUCUGGACAAAAUCUUCCUGCUCCACUGCUUCAGUUCAGCUGAGCAUCUGAGGUUCAUGAAGUGCAGACACUGAAGGUGAACUCUUGAAGACAAAAUCUCACUUAACCAGCUCUUAGCCCUUCCAACUUACUUGACUUUUGUCAGGCCUUUGGUGAGCAGAUUUGACACAAAGGUAUGACCAAAAAAUAGCACUUUCCUAGGGGUACUGAAGUAAGAUCCCCUCAGUGAGGAGCAGAACAGGCAUGCAAAAGCAAGGCAGGAAGUAGGAAUUCCUCAUUUGGUAAUGGCAAUUUCAAUCUGAAGAGGAGGCACACAUGAUACAGUGUGUGUGGACCUCCUCAGAGAGGCAGAAGGGCAGCUAGACAGAGCAAAUAUGGAGCACAGUGAAUUUCACUAAAUUAAGCCACUCUUGAUUUACCCUCUGGAAAAAAAUAGUCAGAGCUGUGCUUUUUCUUCCAACCAUACAAGAGGAGCUAAGCUCCCCACAGACUGCCCCAAAUCUACUCCUAUAUUUGAACAUCUAAUGAAGCUUUUUAACCAGUCAACUGAACUGAUAUUUGAAAUACAGCUGAUGGGAUAGAUGCUUCAUUCUCAUUAAGUGUCUUGGGACAAGACACUUCUUUCACUCAAUUUAUAUAAAUUAAUAAUGGCAAAAGAGAAAAUGCUAAUUUAGCCUGUGAUUAAAAAAUGUAAAAAAAAAAACUCUGACAAGCCUUUUGAUUUUUUUUAAAUGGAGUUGGUAACACUUCCUUCCUUGGUAUGGUUGGUAACAUUUUCACCCUAUGUGCUCUCUUCCAUAGCACCUAGACUACUGAAACACUGAAGCAGUAGGGGCCAUCAGAUGCAGGCAUCUUGCUGCCUAGAUUCUGGGAGCCUCCAGGAGCUCCCACUUUAACAGACAGACAGACAGACUGCAUCUGGAAAAAUACUUCAGUCUAGAAACUGGUGCAGUUAAACAUAAGUUUUGAGACGGACCCAUUUUAAUUUCUGAAGCAGUGCCUACUUCAUUUAAGAAACAAGAAACACCUCUCAUUGCUCAGCAGAUCAAGCUUCAGUUUAAUUUCUCUAAAGAUCAGCAAGUACUGAAUACAUAAACAUCCAAUAUUUCACAUUAAACACCCAGCAUUGAUGUCAUACAAAGGAAAAUAUCUUCUAGUAAGAGUUAAAACAAAAUACUCCCUAUUAAAAAUAUGAGUUUGUUCAAGAUUAAAGGUUUUAUUUAGGGUUUUUUUCCCUUCAUGUCAUUGCACAUUUCUCCCACUUACCUUGUACCAGUUCUGGUCCUUACUAGAUCCCUUCAUAAAUCACCCAGUGAAAACAUAGACAGCUUUCUCAGGAGUGGCUGAGUUGAGGCAACACAAGUGCAGUGGUGGCACCUUGGAAAGAGUGGAAGCAUGUGACCAGGAGGAGGAUUGGGAACUCCAAGGAAAAAAGACUUUCUCCUCACUGCUGCAGUGAACUUUAUACCAGCUCCAUCAUAAUUUGUCAUGCCAGAAGUCAAGUUUCCAUAGAUCAACUUUAGCUCAAUCAAAUUAAUUCUGAAGAUUUUGCUUCAUUUGUUUGUACAUACACUCAAGUUUUCAAAUAAAUGCACAGAGCAAUUUAAGUGAAGAAAUUCAUAGGAGAGAAUUUGCUGUGAGGUUCCAAGACAGAGCGUGCUCUUUGAAAGGCAGCACUCCUUCCCUAUUCACACUUAUCUUAAUACCUAGCUUUAUGUUUAAAGAGGCCACGUGCCAAAUUAAAUGCAAAAUCUAAUCUGUUAAAGCAACUGCAAUUUUCUGCUUUGGUCAGAAUCACAAUUACAACAACAAACAACACAGUCAGUGAUUAAUAACAAGCCUAACCAAGACUCAUGUUAUUACUGCCUAUCUGAUCUACUCACUCAUUCCUGCUCAUGCAGGAUACCACAGGCUGGCAGCAGCCACAGCCUGCACAAAGGUGCUGCAUCCAGGAUGUGUAGCUGUCCAACAGUGCUCAAUGGAAACAUGUGCUGCAGAAAUCUUAUUUUGUGCACUUUUCACAAUGUGUUCAUACAUCAGACCCAAUUCAGCUUCAGCCUGAACUUCUUCAAACCUCAUCUGACUAGGCACAUUCAAGUUAUUUGAUUGUUUUAUCUUUGAAAUGUUAGUUUUUGAAAAAGAAUGUCCUCAAGUCUCCAAAACACUGUUUCCAAACAAUUGUGAAGAUUCAUUCUGUCAGCACAAGGCUAUUCGUUAAACUUAUUUCUAGAGCUUUUGUUGACAUAUGGUCAUCCACUGAAAGCUAAGCACUAAGAUGUUUGUGUAUGUCAGCAAACUAUUUAUGAUACUGUGAUAGCUCUAAAAUAAAGUACUAUUAUAUGCUGAAAUACAAUCUUUUUGAGAGGAAAAGGCUUUGGGGUCACCUAACUGUGGCCUUCCAGUGCCUGAAAGGAGCCUGCAAGAGUGGUGGAGAGGCACUCUUACAAGGGCACGUAGUGACAGGACAAGAGGGAAGGCUCUACACUGGAAAAGAGUAGCUUUGUAUUAGAUUUAGGGGGAAAUUCUUUGCUGUGUGAGUGGUGAGGCACUGGCACAGACUGCCCCAUCCCUGGAAGUGUUUAAAGCCAGGCUGGAUGGAGUUCUGAGCAACCUGGUCUACUGGAAGGAGUCCCUGCCCAUGGCAAGGGAGAUGGAACUGGAUGAUCUUCAAGGUCCCUUCCAACACCAUUCUAUGAUUCUAUCAUAUACAAUAUAAAAACCAAUCACACUCAACUCAAACACUGGCCUACAUUUUCCUGGUAACACAGUCUAGCACACUGUGCAACAAAGAAGCUAAUAAAUAAAUAUAUCAGUUACAAAUAAAUACAUUGAUGCCAGUCAUGAACUGGAGCAUGAUUUUGGCCCUGGAUCUGUGAUUGCUAUAUUGCUUUAAUUAUAAAAUCACAGAAUUUUUUAAUUAUAAUUUUUUAUUAUAAAAUCACAGAAAACUGCGAAUUACCCCUUAGCUUGAUCCUGCAUUUCAUUUGGUAUAUGUUCACUCUAAACAUGUAACCAGACCUCAAAAAGCAAUACUGCCAUUCAGCAUUGUCUAACAGUGAAUGAGGAUUUAAAGAGAAACAGGAAAUCUUCCCUAAGGGGCAAUGUAUAUUAGCUAACACGGUUCUGCAACAGAGCUGGCUUGAUUCUGAUUGAAGUGUCACACAGGCAAGGGAGCUCACCACUGUCUGCAGAGUGCACUCCUAGAUUCUAGAGAGUUCCCUAUGGAAUAUACCAUGAGCCAAGACAACAUCUCGCCAUCAGAAGUAAAACUUCCCUGUCAUCUCCUCCCUGCUCUGCACUACUGCUGCUCCCCCUGAGCCAGCUCUCAUUUCACACAAAGGCAAGCUGACUCAGCUCAGCAAAAUUAGGAAAAAUCACCUCUGGCAGAAAAAGGUAAACGUGAAAAAGGGAAGCCAGGGGAGUGACUUCAUUACUCACCCUGUGGCCAGAGCUCAUCACUAGAAGUGAGAGAGUGAAGCAGGGAAGGAGGGACAGUCAGACCUCCUCCUCCUUUGGGUGUCAGCAAGAAGCUGAGGCAGCCCAGCACUGCUGCCAUACCACAUCUGGGAGCAGCAGCACGUGCUGCAGCACUGGAGAUCAUUCCUCAGACCUUAAGCAGAUGAUUCCCAUUAAAAUGUUAAUUACUUAUAUCUGUCUCCUAGCUAUCAAAUUAUAUUCCUCUAUAAAGCAUUUAUUUUUUCCAAGUGGAGACUCUUAGUUUAGGGAAUGAAAUGAGAAACAAAAAAAGAAUCAGUACUGCUCCAGGCUGGUAUGCUGCACAGAUUGUGUUACAGUGCUUCAACUUAAGAUUUUGGUCUUAAAUAGAGAGAAAAAUUGUAUUAGCUUAUGUUUCAGCAAGGUAUUUUUAUUAUAUUAAAUUCUUGACUUCAGAGAGAAGCACAUAUGAUAUCACUACUGGCUACAGACACUAAGUUAUGCACUACAGUUCAGAAGGCAUUCUAGCCCACCAAAGCUUAGUUCCUAAACAGCAAGUAACAGCUGCAUUUGAAAUAAAACCAUUCCUUAUUAAGACAAGAAUCCAAGUUUCAGAAUCAUAAAGACAUCUAACAUGACUGUUAAAUAUACAUUUUAAUAUGUACACUUUAAUCUAAACAGUUAAAAAAAAAAUCUAAUUAAUAUGAUCUAUCAAAGGAAUUUUUCUAUCCCUAAACAGAUCUUUCAGAAAAGCUGCUUAUAAGUAUCCUGGGUACCAAGAUACUAUAAAAGCACUUACUCUCAACAUACUCUUUUGUUGUCUUAGAGAAAAGUGUUACAAAAUACCAUUUGGUUACAAAAAGAUAAAAUGCACAAACUUUGAGAAAGAUUUCCUAGACAGAGGAUAGCAAGGAGCAGUAGGGGCCAGUUUAAUGAGAAAGCUGCAGAAGUCUCACUAGCUGAUCUCAGGACAAGAUUUAUCUCAUACACAGGAAAAGCAAAUCACUGGAUAAACUGACUUUAUCUGAUGGUUAUGGACAUCAGUGAUUAAGCUUCCAGUCUACUCCACCUCUAUUAAAACCAUGUAAAAGAAAUUAAACUUAACAACAGCUGUCACAAUUCCUGUUUCACUCAACUUCACUAUUUGAUUGCCAGAAAAAAGGAUCUACUCCAGCAAUGUUCAGGGAAACACUCUGUGGUUCAUUUAGUGGUAUAAAUGCACUGUCUAUGUUUCCUUGCCUGCAAAGCUGGACGGGUUCUUGUUUGUGAUUUCUCGUGUAACAUGAUUUUACAGCCAUGUACCCACCCCCACAUUCUCUUUACUGCAGUUCUGUAAUGGAAAUAAACAACAUAAUGGUAACUCUUUAUAGUUCAUGUUGCCGUUACUUGAGAUAAAAAACAAACAAGACACUAGCAGUUUUAUAAUUUAUUAACACAUCGUUCCAAAUUUGGGACAAGAAACUCCACAGCAACAUGUUCACUCUAGAAAACCAAACACUGCACAACUAGAUGGAAAAGGCAUUUCAUAUCAGGUCCAUGGAUCACCCUCCUCUCAGGCCCACUUGAUGGAAGCAGUGUGCUCUAAGUGUGAUAAUAUAAUGGAGACUAGUGGAGAUCCUGCAGGGAAAUAAAAAACUGUGGGUCCUUCCCCACCGGAAAUGUCACUUUCAACAGUAUCAGCCAAAAACGCUGCACUAUUAGCAUAAGACUGGAGUAAUUUUCUGUCAUCAGGCCCUGUUCAUAUGUAAAACAGCAACACUCCUGUUUCCCAGGGGAAGGAGGUCUCCCACCCCCCACACGGCUCCUCCAGCUGCAAGCAACACAGGUACUAACUUAUGCAAACACAGGAAAACUCACUCUGCUGGUUUCUGGCUUUGGUGAGCUGCUGAUUCUCCCUCCACCCUCUGCCCUGGCCUCUGGGUGACUUUGCUCCUCUUCUCAGUGCUGAUGACUUUCACACUUACCUUUCUUUCCCUCCCCAUCCACGGCUGCAUUUCUUCCUGCAGCUUCUUGAAUUUAGGCAUGAGAAAAGCAGAACUUCAGCUUUUCCUCCUGAAGUCUCAUACCUUUCUGCUUUCCCAUUUAAUACUGAUCACUCUGUCUUUUCAUUCCAAUGUUGAGGUUUUUUGCAACUUUUUUUUAACAUCUAAUCUGAUUGGCUGUAGCCAAGUUUCUAAAUGCAUUUCACUACAGAAUUCAUUUCAGUCUGUGGUUCAGUAUUGCCUGGAGUGCUACAAACUGAAUCUUCAAAAGACUUACUCGCUCAUUAGCAUACACCUUCCUCUUCUGAGCAGUGCCUUCAGGUGCAGUCACCCUCUUUUCAAGAGCAUAUUCCUCAUCUUUACCUCUGAGGCACAUUCCUCCUGCUCAUCUCGGCCUGCCUAUCUUCAAUCUGCGGGGAAAGCAAGACACCACAGUUCACUCAUCGACACUGAUGUCCCCUUUGCUGCUGCCCUGCUCUGUGCAGAUGGUGCCCGUUUCCCUUAUUCUUUGUUUUAACAAGCACUCAGCAAAAAAAACAGGAAUUUACUGUCUGCAAACCAGGUGGCUUAGGCUGCUCUAAAUAAAAACAAACUGCUUUAGCCAGUCCUAGCUAAAGAAGGUCUCUAGAACCUCUAUGAAGUU